UUUCUUUAGUAUUUUUAGUUUUUCUGCCUCAAGUUUAGUGUUUUUAGACCAUGUACAUAGGUGAUAUAAUUAGAGUAUCAAGAGUCACAAAAUAAUUUUUAAUAUAUCAAACAAUAGAUUUAGGCCUGAUACUGUAUCAGUGCAGUGAUUCUUUUGAUACCCAGUAUCGGAUGACGUGGAGGCUUAUGAUUCGUCUGUGAAAUUCGUUUUUUUCUGGAAAAAAAAAAACAUUUUUCUCUCCGAUAGUCUUUCUACUGUUUUAGCUAAGUAGCUACAUUUUCCGCAAGUGAGUAAUUUUGCCAACUUUUCGUGAUUAUGCGACAUAAUUUUACAGUAAUUUUGUAACUCUAUAUUUUUAUAAAUUUAUUUUUUGAUUUUGCA
This 381-nucleotide small RNA is filed under the name Arabidopsis thaliana (thale cress). RNAcentral's name for it is "ATSL177680". Lineage: Eukaryota; Viridiplantae; Streptophyta; Magnoliopsida; Brassicales; Brassicaceae. The record is from RNAcentral.